AACGCGAAGAACCUUACCUGGGCUCGAAAUGUUGUGGACCGGGGUAGAAAUAUCCCUUCCCCGCAAGGGGCUGCAAUAUAGGUGCUGCAUGGCUGUCGUCAGCUCGUGUCGUGAGAUGUUGGGUUAAGUCCCGCAACGAGCGCAACCCUUAUCUCCAGUUGCUACCAUUUAGUUGAGCACUCUGGCGAAACCGCCUCGGAUAACGGGGAGGAAGGUGGGGAUGACGUCAAGUCCUCAUGGCCUUUAUGUCCAGGGCUACACACGUGCUACAAUGGCCGGUACAAACCGUUGCAAACCCGCGAGGGGGAGCUAAUCGGAAAAAGCCGGCCUCAGUUCGGAUUGCAGUCUGCAACUCGACUGCAUGAAGCUGGAAUCGCUAGUAAUCGCGGAUCAGAACGCCGCGGUGAAUACGUUCCCGGGCCUUGUA
RNAcentral lists this ribosomal RNA (427 nucleotides) under uncultured Acidobacterium sp. RNAcentral describes it as "bacterial SSU rRNA". It matches the Rfam family "Bacterial small subunit ribosomal RNA", at positions 958 to 1385 of the family's 1533-position model. Lineage: Bacteria; Pseudomonadati; Acidobacteriota; Terriglobia; Terriglobales; Acidobacteriaceae. The record is from RNAcentral.